UGGGAAAUAUUGGACAAUGGGCGAAAGCCUGAUCCAGCCAUGCCGCGUGUGUGAAGAAGGUCUUCGGAUUGUAAAGCACUUUAAAUUGGGAGGAAGGGCAGUAAGCGAAUACCUUGCUGUUUUGACGUUACCGACAGAAUAAGCACCGGCUAACUCUGUGCCAGCAGCCGCGGUAAUACAGAGGGUGCAAGCGUUAAUCGGAAUUACUGGGCGUAAAGCGCGCGUAGGUGGUUCGUUAAGUUGAAUGUGAAAGCCCCGGGCUCAACCUGGGAACUGCAUCCAAAACUGGCGAGCUAGAGUGUGGGAGAGGAUGGUAGAAUUCCAGGUGUAGCGGUGAAAUGCGUAGAGAUCUGGAGGAAUACCGAUGGCGAAGGCAGCCAUCUGGCCUAACACUGACGCUGAGGUACGAAAGCAUGGGGAGCAAACAGG
RNAcentral lists this ribosomal RNA (429 nucleotides) under Pseudomonadota bacterium. RNAcentral describes it as "Proteobacteria bacterium partial 16S ribosomal RNA". It matches the Rfam family "Bacterial small subunit ribosomal RNA", at positions 355 to 776 of the family's 1533-position model. The record is from RNAcentral. Lineage: Bacteria; Pseudomonadati; Pseudomonadota.